This 500-nucleotide ribosomal RNA is filed under the name uncultured Myrionecta. RNAcentral describes it as "SSU rRNA". It matches the Rfam family "Eukaryotic small subunit ribosomal RNA", at positions 34 to 598 of the family's 1831-position model. The record is from RNAcentral. Lineage: Eukaryota; Ciliophora; Litostomatea; Cyclotrichida; Mesodiniidae.
AUGUCUAAGAUAGCCAUGCACGUCUAAGUACAAACUAAAUGAUGGUGAAACUGCAAAUGGGCUCAUUACAACGGUUAUGAUGUACCCGGGAGUUCCGAUGGAUAUUUCCAGUAACACUAGAACUAAUACAUGUCCCUGCGUUUAUUAGUUUCGCACAGUCCGUCGCUGAGUCAUGGUAAACAGUUGAUCGACUCGACGUCCCGGAACAGUUUCCGCCCCAUCAGCUUCGAUGGUUGGGUAUUGGCCUACCAUUGCAACAACGGGUAACGAGGAAUUAGGGUUUGAUUUCGGAGAGGGAGCCUGAGAAACGGCUACCACAUCUACGGAUGGCAGCAGGCGCGCAAAUUACCCAAUGCAGACACUGUGAGGUAGUGACGAGAAAUAAUAAAGCGGGACUUCUGUUUCGCUAUUAUAAUGAGGAAUAACCAAAGGUCAUUCCGAUUAGCAACUGAUGGGAAAGUCUGGUGCCAGCAGCCGCGGUAAUACCAGCGUCAGUAGCA